RNAcentral lists this long non-coding RNA (1199 nucleotides) under Medicago truncatula (barrel medic). RNAcentral's name for it is "long non-coding RNA (MTRU_LNC002116)". Lineage: Eukaryota; Viridiplantae; Streptophyta; Magnoliopsida; Fabales; Fabaceae. The record is from RNAcentral.
UUCAUCUCCUUCUUCCCUUUUCUUUCUUACUUUUACUUUUGUUUUGGGGAGGUUAUGAUGUCAUCGGUUCACUUUUGGCCUUCCAUACAAAGGGUCAACAUAAACCUUCAUGUCAUCUUAUGCGGUUAGUAUGAAUAGUCAAAGGAUGAUUGUUCUUCUCCAUCUUGUAUUCGAUAUUGGUUUAUCUAUGACUGUUUAGAUUAAUUUCCACCUUCUCAUGUUCCAUCAUCUUUGUUUUUCCAAUUUUUUUGUAGGAUGUGCGAAAGGGAUGACAAGUCUUCUUCCUUCUUCUCCCUCUAUCUUCUUGCACUAGAGUGUUAUGUUAAUACAAAUGUUUUAUGAAAUCAUGUUUAAUUAAUAAUACGUGAUGGAUUAUCAAAUUUUGUUGUCAAUUUUAAAUAAUAACAUUUACAAUUAUGUCAUUUUAAUAAAUUUAGUUGAAUCUGAACAAAACUGGGUUAAAAAAAAUAUCAAAUGCACUUCGAACUACAAAAUUCAAUCGAAGUAAAAUUGUCAAAUUAGAAGGCGUGCGAAAAGGACCUAUAACUUAUGGAGGUAUAAGUAGGCUAAUGUUCUACCACCGCAUUACUUUUGACCACACUCCCUUAGCCAAACCACAAUGGAGAAGGAUGUGAACCGUCGUCUCCACUGCAUCACCACACCACUCACAAAAGACUGACGACUCGAUAGGCAAGACAUCCCUAAUCCGGAGAUUAUACUUAGAAGGAAUACUAUCAUGAAGGGCCUUCCAUGAAAAACCUAUAACUUUUAACCGUGCUGGAUUCUUCCAAAUGCUCCCAAACACUAAAAAAAUCAAUCAAAUGAUGCGGCAGAUGAAGGAACAAGUAGAAAUUUGAACAAGUAUUCACCAAAAAAAAGAGAUGCAGGAACAAGAAUAACCAAUAUAUUUCUAUUAUGUAUACAUGUAUGAAAUUGAUAUCAAGUACUCAAUCACUAAAAUGGAAUAAACCAGAAGAAUAUGUAUAAAAAUUCCAAUAUACCGUAAUUCAUAUACCAUUAAUUUUCUCUGUUACAUAUAUACGCAUACAAUUUGAAUAGUGGAGAUACAAUCGUGCAAUAGAAAAUUGAACUUUCUAUAGUCCAUAACAAUGGCAAGACCAGGCUCCACUGUGGCUAAAUGGGCCACAAACACCUCAGAUCAAGCAAUAAACCAUUCUCAAACUACAACAUAGUGUUAU